UAAAAGGAUUAUGUCAUACAUGACUCCGGA
Molecule: non-coding RNA, 30 nt
Filed under: Rattus norvegicus (Norway rat)
Lineage: Eukaryota; Metazoa; Chordata; Mammalia; Rodentia; Muridae
Source: RNAcentral